RNAcentral lists this transfer RNA (72 nucleotides) under Camelus bactrianus (Bactrian camel). It matches the Rfam family "tRNA". Rfam says of the family: Transfer RNA (tRNA) molecules are approximately 80 nucleotides in length. RNAcentral also lists the same sequence under 2 other names. The record is from Rfam by way of RNAcentral. Lineage: Eukaryota; Metazoa; Chordata; Mammalia; Artiodactyla; Camelidae.
GGUAGUAGAGCUCAGUGGCAGAAUGUGUGCUUAGCAUGCACGAGGUCCUGGGCUCAAGCCCCUGUACCUCCA